UAAAAGAGUUAGUGGGAAGUUGGGCAAGUUUCUACACAGAUGCCUUACUACAGAUGCCAUAAAUCUGCAUCCAAAACUACACAAAUACAAAGUCAUUCUCACCAGAGGCUCAUGCAGCAGGGGCAGCUUCCAUCCCCGUCUUUACAAAGGCGACAUCUGUGGCCAUGCACACAACUGCUCCAGCCUUGGAAAGCAGAGUCCCCUGCCUCACUCUUCCACGGAGAUUACCAGACUGCUUUUUACCAAACACUUAAGCAAAUCACUCCAGCUCUGCUCAAAACUCAAAACCACAAAGCGAAGCAGCAACAACCAAGGAGCACUGGCCGAGGCACAUCCCUCCUGCUGGCUGGCUGGUCAUGCCAAACCAAAGCAAACAAUCCUAAUCUGGGAAUACAUCACAUUUCACUUCACUCUUCAAUAAGCCCCUCUCACUCAGGGCCAAACAGCUUGCCCAGCUGUUUGAGCACCCAGGAUAAGAUGAGGAAAAAGGAUGUUCCUCUCAAAGACAAGGCUGUCAGCACGGCCAGUACUGCUGCUCCAGUCUAAAGAAUGGCAACAUUUUUCUCACGCUUCUAAAAGCUCUGAGGUGGAGGGCAAGAAGAAAUAACUUUCAAAGUGGUAUGCCACCAGGCUUGUCUCCCUCAGUAAAUCUCCCAUCCCUGUUUUUCAUACUCCAUGCAGGAAACCCCCAUGCUCCAGUACUAUUGAGCAGAGUAUCUCUUAUUAUACCAAAGAGAGACGGGUCUGUGGUGAAGGACAGUUAAUACAGUAAAAUGGAAAUGCAUUCUUAAUCUAAAUUACCUAUUUCUUAGACUAAGUUACCUAGUUCUUACGCUGGGAAAUGAGACAGAGAGAGACUAUGGUGCUGCACUGCUGGGAUUCCAAUGCCCAAAUGGUACAGCUCCAUCACACAAGCCACUUUUAAAUCCAAGUAAUUGGAUUCAGAAGAAACCUAUGACUGACCAUCACUGACUGCUUCUCAGAAGGCCACAGGAAACCAAAAGGGACCAUUUUCCACAUUUUUCAUCUUAAAAUAAGAAAAUCUGGAGGAAAUAAACCAACUCAACAAGUGCA
Molecule: long non-coding RNA, 1074 nt
Filed under: Anas platyrhynchos platyrhynchos (common mallard)
Lineage: Eukaryota; Metazoa; Chordata; Aves; Anseriformes; Anatidae
Description: lncRNA (ENSAPLG00000023403.1)
Source: RNAcentral